GAUGUACGCUGGCGGCGUGCCUAAUACAUGCAAGUCGAGCGAACAGACGAGGAGCUUGCUCCUCUGACGUUAGCGGCGGACGGGUGAGUAACACGUGGAUAACCUACCUAUAAGACUGGGAUAACUUCGGGAAACCGGAGCUAAUACCGGAUAAUAUAUUGAACCGCAUGGUUCAAUAGUGAAAGACGGUUUUGCUGUCACUUAUAGAUGGAUCCGCGCCGCAUUAGCUAGUUGGUAAGGUAACGGCUUACCAAGGCAACGAUGCGUAGCCGACCUGAGAGGGUGAUCGGCCACACUGGAACUGAGACACGGUCCAGACUCCUACGGGAGGCAGCAGUAGGGAAUCUUCCGCAAUGGGCGAAAGCCUGACGGAGCAACGCCGCGUGAGUGAUGAAGGUCUUCGGAUCGUAAAACUCUGUUAUUAGGGAAGAACAAAUGUGUAAGUAACUAUGCACGUCUUGACGGUACCUAAUCAGAAAGCCACGGCUAACUACGUG
This 497-nucleotide ribosomal RNA is filed under the name uncultured bacterium. RNAcentral describes it as "partial 16S ribosomal RNA". It matches the Rfam family "Bacterial small subunit ribosomal RNA", at positions 28 to 507 of the family's 1533-position model. The record is from RNAcentral.